UUAUACAUUUUUUUUUUUUUUUUUUGCAGGCUGUAUGAUGCAUAUAGUUUUCAGAUGAUCCCUGUGUUGGGUGAAGUGAUCGCCGGAGACUGGAAAUCAUAUCAAUAUUUGGUGGAAAGCAUCCGAAAGUUCCCAGACCAGGAAACAUUCAAGGAAAUGAUCGAGGAUGCUGGCUUCUUGCGUGUCCAGUAUUUUAACCUGACAGGAGGAAUCGUUGCCAUUCAUUCAGGAUUCAAGCUGUGAGUGACUGUCUACCACAUAUAGACAUGAGUAUAGCUUUCUCUCCAAAUGAACUCUGACAAGAAAGAGUGCAGUUCUACAAACAAUGGGACGACAGGAAAGUCAGAACACUUGUGCAACAGGCAAUGGCUCUUAGGAAACUCAGCAUGAAAAGACCUUUGUUCAUUGAUUUAUGCUGUUGGUAUAUUAAACACAUUUCACCCUUUGAAGUGAAAAUGGAAGAGAUUAAAAUGUUGUGGGUUUGAGUGACAUGUUUGCCUGAGAUAUUCAAAAUGUUAAAUGUGAGCACUAUUUUUAUUUGUACAAGCUGGACAGUGCGUUUGGUUUUUGGUCAUUUGGAAGCACAUGCUGACCCAAUAAAAAAAGAAAAAUGUGUUUUAUUUUU
Molecule: non-coding RNA, 625 nt
Organism: Pimephales promelas (fathead minnow)
Lineage: Eukaryota; Metazoa; Chordata; Actinopteri; Cypriniformes; Leuciscidae
Source: RefSeq, a predicted model, not a curated record